Molecule: ribosomal RNA, 478 nt
Filed under: uncultured bacterium
Lineage: Bacteria
Description: partial 16S ribosomal RNA
Rfam family: Bacterial small subunit ribosomal RNA
Source: RNAcentral
GACGAACGCUGGCGGCGUGCUUAACACAUGCAAGUCGAACGGUAAGGCCCUUCGGGGUACACGAGUGGCGAACGGGUGAGUAACACGUGGGUGAUCUGCCCUGCACUUCGGGAUAAGCCUGGGAAACUGGGUCUAAUACCGGAUAGGACCACUGCCUGCAUGGGUGGUGGUGGAAAGCUUUUGCGGUGUGGGAUGGGCCCGCGGCCUAUCAGCUUGUUGGUGGGGUGAUGGCCUACCAAGGCGACGACGGGUAGCCGGCCUGAGAGGGUGACCGGCCACAUUGGGACUGAGAUACGGCCCAGACUCCUACGGGAGGCAGCAGUGGGGAAUAGUGCACAAUGGGCGCAAGCCCGAUGCAGCGACGCCGCGUGAGGGAUGACGGCCUUCGGGUUGUAAACCUCUUUCAGCACCGACGAAGCGCAAGUGACGGUAGGUGCAGAAGAAGGACCGGCCAACUACGUGCCAGCCGCCGCGGUAA